Molecule: ribosomal RNA, 445 nt
Filed under: uncultured bacterium
Lineage: Bacteria
Description: partial 16S ribosomal RNA
Rfam family: Bacterial small subunit ribosomal RNA
Source: RNAcentral
GUGAGGAAUAUUGGUCAAUGGACGAGAGUCUGAACCAGCCAAAUAGCGUGAAGGAUGAAGGUCCUACGGAUUGUAAACUUCUUUUAUAAGGGAAUAAAACCUCCCACGUGUGGGAGCUUGUAUGUACCUUAUGAAUAAGCAUCGGCUAACUCCGUGCCAGCAGCCGCGGUAAUACGGAGGAUGCGAGCGUUAUCCGGAUUUAUUGGGUUUAAAGGGAGCGCAGACGGGUCGUUAAGUCAGCUGUGAAAGUUUGGGGCUCAACCUUAAAAUUGCAGUUGAUACUGGCGUCCUUGAGUGCGGUUGAGGUGUGCGGAAUUCGUGGUGUAGCGGUGAAAUGCUUAGAUAUCACGAAGAACUCCGAUUGCGAAGGCAGCACACUAAGCAGUAACUGACGUUCAUGCUCGAAAGUGUGGGUAUCAAACAGGAUUAGAAACCCGUGUAGUCC